Molecule: long non-coding RNA, 1182 nt
Filed under: Pogona vitticeps (central bearded dragon)
Lineage: Eukaryota; Metazoa; Chordata; Lepidosauria; Squamata; Agamidae
Description: lncRNA (ENSPVIG00000013832.1)
Source: RNAcentral
AAUGAGCUGAAAGAAUGAAUCCUAAAUGGGAACUGACAUCACCAAAGCCGCACACCAACAAGGUGCCAAGUAACUGCUGAGGUACCACAAGUUUGCUAAAGUGAUAUGGUAAGCAGUGUUAAAGCCAAUGUUAUCAACACAGGGUUCCUAACACCUGAAUCAGUUAUUGAGUUCCGAACCUCAGGGCUGUUCUUUAGCCAGCUUUAAUAAAAAGUGCCAAGUGACCUUUGCACCGUUUAUGUGUCUCUCACAUACUUACCUCUUCUCCCCACCAACCAACUUUGGCUGCAGUGGUGAGGAAGAUAGGAAAACUCUUUCCUUCAUCACUUCAUUUAACUUCCAAUCCAAACUGUGGUCCUACAAAGCCGGUCCUGUCAACUGCAAAUAAGAAAAGAAGGAGAGCAGGAUAAAAUGGGAGGCACUGCAAAAUUUUUGGUUCCAAACAUUUUGGGGGGGGGGAUAUAUACAAAUUGUUCAUCAUUGCACAAAACAAAUGAAAAUCCUUUUUCACAUCUCAUAUCUUUCAUAGACUUGCUAUCUGAUGCCAUAAUGUAUAGCAUUUUUAUCAUAUUAAAUAAAAUCUGGAACCUUCUAUGUUUAAUUAAGUGGAUGCACCAUUUUGCACACACUGAAUUUUAUAUACGACACAUUCCCUGAACACAGAAUCUGAAGGAUCAAAUAUGGGCCAAGAAUGCUCAAGUAGACAUUUUCAAACAUCAGUAUCUCACUCACAAUAGAUGUCAAUCUGAAAACAUUCCAGAAACGUCAGUCAACUAAAGUGCUAUAGUUGUUGCAUACUAAAUAUUUAACCAUACUUUAAUUUAGAGCUGAAUUGGGGAUAUAUGUAUGGGAAUUCAGGAAAACAACUCAUAGUAAUGCACAUCUCACUUAUGCCUAGCCCUUGGAAUAUCCAGGAAAAAAUAUUUUAGCAGAGACUACAACAGACAUUUUCAUGUGCUAUGAACCGUCUUUAGUUGCUUUGACCGCAAGGACUAUGGCAUACAUAUAUACAUUCUGAAAUACAUACAUUUUCAUUUACAGCACUUCUACAACUGAUUGAGAUACAUGGAACUUAGCUUGUGGGGAGACCAUUAGUUUACAUUCCAAUUUUAAAAGAUACAGUUGAAAAUAACAGUCCAGUGCAGCAAUAAAAUGUAUUUAAAGCCAUAUGCUUAUUUUCUU